AUACGGAGGAUGCGAGCGUUAUCCGGAUUUAUUGGGUUUAAAGGGAGCGUAGGUGGGAUAUUAAGUCAGCUGUGAAAGUUUGGGGCUCAACCUUAAAAUUGCAGUUGAUACUGGUUUCCUUGAGUACGGUAUAGGUGGGCGGAAUUCGUGGUGUAGCGGUGAAAUGCUUAGAUAUCACGAAGAACUCCGAUCGCGAAGGCAGCUCACCGGGCCGGAACUGACACUGAUGCUCGAAAGUGCGGGUAUCAAACAGGAUUAGAUACCCUGGUAGUCCGCACAGUAAACGAUGAAUACUCGCUGUUUGCGAUAUACAGUAAGCGGCCAAGCGAAAGCAUUAAGUAUUCCACCUGGGGAGUACGCCGGCAACGGUGAAACUCAAAUGAAUUGACGGGG
RNAcentral lists this ribosomal RNA (393 nucleotides) under uncultured bacterium. RNAcentral describes it as "partial 16S ribosomal RNA". It matches the Rfam family "Bacterial small subunit ribosomal RNA", at positions 523 to 918 of the family's 1533-position model. The record is from RNAcentral.